RNAcentral lists this ribosomal RNA (232 nucleotides) under uncultured bacterium. Its description in RNAcentral is "partial 16S ribosomal RNA". It matches the Rfam family "Bacterial small subunit ribosomal RNA", at positions 99 to 334 of the family's 1533-position model. The record is from RNAcentral.
CGGACGGGUGAGUAAUGUCUGGGAAACUGCCCGAUGGAGGGGGAUAACUACUGGAAACGGUAGCUAAUACCGCAUAAUGUCUGCGGACCAAAGCGGGGGACCUCCGGGCCUCGCGCCAUCAGAUGAACCCAUAUGGGAUUAGCUAGUAGGUAAGGUAACGGCUUACCUAGGCGACGAUCCCUAGCUGGUCUGAGAGGAUGAUCAGCCACACUGGAACUGAGACACGGUCCAG